This 504-nucleotide ribosomal RNA is filed under the name uncultured bacterium. Its description in RNAcentral is "partial 16S ribosomal RNA". It matches the Rfam family "Bacterial small subunit ribosomal RNA", at positions 28 to 507 of the family's 1533-position model. The record is from RNAcentral.
GACGAACGCUGGCGGCGUGCUUAACACAUGCAAGUCGAACGGUGAAGCGCUUGCCUUUUUGGUGGGUGUGGAUGAGUGGCGAACGGGUGAGUAACACGUGAGUAACCUGCCCUCUUCUUCUGGAUAACCUCAUGAAAGUGGGGCUAAUACGGGGUAUUCCGGGUCUGUCGCAUGGCGGGUUUGGGAAAGAUUGCGCCUUUGGGUGUUUUCGGUGGGGGAUGGGCUCGCGGCCUAUCAGCUUGUUGGUGGGGUGAUGGCCUACCAAGGCGGUGACAGGUAGCCGGCCUGAGAGGGUGGACGGCCACACUGGGACUGAGACACGGCCCAGACUCCUGCGGGAGGCAGCAGUGGGGAAUAUUGCACAAUGGGCGCAAGCCUGAUGCAGCGACGCCGCGUGAGGGAUGGAGGCCUUCGGGUUGUGAACCUCUUUCGCCAGUGAAGCAGGCCUGCUCCUGUGUGGGUGGGUUGACGGUAGCUGGAUAAGAAGCGCCGGCUAACUACGUG